CCUACGGGAGGCAGCAGUGGGGAAUCUUGCGCAAUGGGCGAAAGCCUGACGCAGCGACGCCGCGUGGGGGAUGAAGCUUCUCGGAGUGUAAACCCCUUUCGACUGGGACGAAUACCUCGCAAGAGGGGUGACGGUACCAGUAGAAGAAGCCCCGGCUACCUACGUGCCAACAGCCGCGGUAAU
This 183-nucleotide ribosomal RNA is filed under the name uncultured bacterium. RNAcentral's name for it is "partial 16S rRNA". It matches the Rfam family "Bacterial small subunit ribosomal RNA", at positions 338 to 524 of the family's 1533-position model. The record is from RNAcentral.